ACUUUCCCCUCUCCCUCACUCGCUCUCUUCUCCCCAACGCGAACCCGACGCCAUCAUCGCCACGGCCGACCUUGCCGGCGUGCUCCUCGUCGUCCUAGACGGCAAGGAGCUUGUCCAAAAGCUUCGUCUGCUUCUGAUGCUUCCACUACGAGGAUCGGUUCGAGCCGGGCGCCUCUACAUCGCGGGGAUCGAGCCCAUCUUCAACCUCUGUUAGCCACCGUUCGACGCGUCGAUCCGCGCAUCUCCGACAGCCCCCGGCCUCGCCGAGCCCUCCCCAAGAUCCGCUUAGACCCCGAGGCCGAUGAUGCCCUGGUGAUUGACUACGUCGACGACGACACUUCUUCCUUUUCAGCAGAGCUUCCAGUGACAAGAGAUCCGAUGGCCGCCGCAGCAGCUGCUCCGGUGAUGAAGCCGGCGACAAUCAACACCAACACCAUAGCACCGUGCUGCCCAUCUGGUGGACGCGUUACUUCGGCAAGCACAACAACUCCAAUCUGUACAACAGUCCUGCCGACGGAGAAGGUGACAUCCAUCAGCGUGAGGGCUUCCGCGGCCUGGAUGAUGACGCCAUCAUCGGGCGAAUGCUCUACCAUGGGCUUGAUGACAACUUUGAUUGAGAGAGAUCGGCCGAACACGAGGUUGGCCAGAGUGACGGCAAAAUAGACGUGCACAUCCAUGGGGGUUGGUUACAAAGAAGAAACCUAUAGGCCCGAGGUGCAAUGGUAAAGUGGGUUACGGUGAAAAGUGCCAUAUAUAUGGACCAGCUGCGUAAUUUUUCUCUCUCCAUUGUUUUGAUUAUUUAUGGUGUAUUUAUAGAGAGCUCAGCAGCCAGCUAUCACGCUUUGCCACCUUGGUUCGGUGGCUCCAAGGGUGGGUGUGGUGUUUCAUUUGUAUUGAUUGCGCGCG
Molecule: ribosomal RNA, 906 nt
Filed under: Triticum aestivum (bread wheat)
Lineage: Eukaryota; Viridiplantae; Streptophyta; Magnoliopsida; Poales; Poaceae
Description: partial small subunit ribosomal RNA
Source: RNAcentral